RNAcentral lists this long non-coding RNA (355 nucleotides) under Elaeis guineensis (African oil palm). RNAcentral describes it as "long non-coding RNA (EGUI_LNC055104)". Lineage: Eukaryota; Viridiplantae; Streptophyta; Magnoliopsida; Arecales; Arecaceae. The record is from RNAcentral.
GCCACUGACGAACUGACGUAGUUCUGGAAGAAAUUUGAAUUGGAGUCGAUCAAAUCCUAUCGAAAAAGAUCCGGAAGGGGUCCAGAGAACGGUUGACCCUUGCAGGAGGUCGGUCGAUAGUAGAAUCCAGAGAGCACUUGGGGCAGCCUGAUAGACAACCGAAGAAGCUUAUCGCUGGAGAAGCUCGGAAGAUGUGGCAGGAGUUCGUCCGUCGGGGGAAUUCGAUCGAACUUGUGGAAGAAGCUGUGGGAGUUUAUCCAUCGGCAGAACUUGGGAACAUUGCGGAAGCUCGGUCGUCAGAGAGGUUUGGAAAGAUGUCGCCCAAGGUCAGACGUCGGUAGAACCCCGAGAGGGU